This is a non-coding RNA of Paramuricea clavata, 65 nucleotides long. Lineage: Eukaryota; Metazoa; Cnidaria; Anthozoa; Malacalcyonacea; Plexauridae. The record is from the annotation of a GenBank genome assembly.
CGCAUCUCAGUUGGCAGAGCAUUGGGCUAGUAUUCCAAAGGUCGUAGGUUCGAUUCCCACCGUGG